RNAcentral lists this ribosomal RNA (406 nucleotides) under uncultured bacterium. RNAcentral describes it as "partial 16S ribosomal RNA". It matches the Rfam family "Bacterial small subunit ribosomal RNA", at positions 29 to 526 of the family's 1533-position model. The record is from RNAcentral.
AUUGAACGCUGGCGGCAGGCCUAACACAUGCAAGUCGAGCGAGCGGCGGACGGGUGAGUAAUGUCUGGGAAACUGCCUGAUGGAGGGGGAUAACUACUGGAAACGGUAGCUAAUACCGCAUACCAUCAGAUGUGCCUAGGUCGGAUGAGCUAGUUGGUGGGGUAAAGGCCUACCAAGGCGACGAUCCGUAACUGGUCUGAGAGGAUGACCAGGCAGACUGGAACUGAGAAACGGUCCAGACGCCUACGGGAGACAGCAGUGGGGAAUAUUGCAGAAUGGGCGCAAGCAUGAUGCAGACAUGCCGCGUGUAUGAAGAAGGCAUGCGGGUUGUAGAGUGCUUUCAGCGGGGAGGCGGUACCCGCAGAAGAAGCACCGGCUAACUCCGUGCCAGCAGCCGCGGUAAUAC